RNAcentral lists this ribosomal RNA (1426 nucleotides) under uncultured bacterium. Its description in RNAcentral is "16S ribosomal RNA". It matches the Rfam family "Bacterial small subunit ribosomal RNA". The record is from RNAcentral.
ACGCUGGCGGCACGCUUACACCUGCAGUCGAGCGGAACUUUGGGGAUUGAGGCUUCGGCCAAAUGAACCUUUGUUUAGCGGCGGACGGGUGAGUAACACGUGGGUAACCUACCCUAUACUGGGGGAUAACGUAGAGAAAUUUACGCUAAUACCGCAUAAGCUUACAGGAAGGCAUCUUUCGGUGAGAAAAGAUUUAUUGGUAUAGGAUGGGCCCGCGUCUGAUUAGCUGGUUGGUGAGGUAACGGCCCACCAAGGCGACGAUCAGUAGCCGGUCUGAGAGGAUGGACGGCCACAUUGGGACUGAGACACGGCCCAGACUCCUACGGGAGGCAGCAGUGGGGAAUAAUGCACAAUGGGGGAAACCCUGAUGCAGCGAUGCCGCGUGAAGGAUGAAGUGUUUCGGCAUGUAAACUUACUAUCAGCAAGGAAGAAAAUGACAGUACUUGACUAAGCAGCCCCGGCUAACUACGUGCCAGCAGCCGCGGUAAUACGUAGGGGGCAAGCGUUAUCCGGAAUUACUGGGUGUAAAGGGUGCGUAGGCGGCACAUUAAGUCAGCUGUGAAACCCCGGUGCUCAACACCGGGCUUGCAGUUGAAACUGGUGAGCUAGAGUACAGGAGGGGAAAGCGGAAUUACUAGUGUAGCGGUGAAAUGCGUAGAUAUUAGUAAGAACACCGGUGGCGAAGGUCGGCUUUCUGGACUGAAACGUGAACUUUGAGUCCACCUGAAAGCGUUGGGGAGCAAACAGGAUUAGAUACCCUUGGUUAGUUCCACGCCGUGUAAACGAUGAAUGCUAAGUGUAUUAGGAGGUUAAACUCUCGGUGCCGCAGCUUACGCAAUAAGCAUUCCACCUGGGGAGUACGACCGCAAGGUUGAAACUCAAAGGAAUUGACGGGGCCCCGCACAAGCGGUGGAGCAUGUGGUUUAAUUCGAUGCAACGCGAAGAACCUUACCAAGUCUUUGACAUAGGGAUGGAUAUUGCAGAGAUGUAAUAGUCCUUCGGGACGUCCCAUACAGGUGGUGCAUGGUUUGUCGUCAGCUCGUGUCGUGAGAUGUUGGGUUAAGUCCCGCAACGAGCGCAACCCUUAUGUUCAGUAGCCAGCGGUUCGGCCGGGCACUCUGGACAGACUGCCGUGGAUAACACGGAGGAAGGUGGGGAUGACGUCAAAUCAUCAUGCCCCUUAUGACUUGGGCUACACACGUGCUACAAUGGCCGGCACAAAGGGAAGCGAAGGCGCGAGCCGGAGCAAAGCUCAAAAAGCCGGUCCCAGUUCGGAUUGUAGUCUGCAACCCGACUACAUGAAGCUGGAAUCGCUAGUAAUCGCAGAUCAGCAUGCUGCGGUGAAUACGUUCCCGGGGCUUGUACACACCGCCCGUCAAACCAUGGGAGUCUGGAGCACCCGAAGUCAGUGGCCCAACCGCAAGGA